GUCCACGCCGUAAACGAUGGGCACUAGGUGUCGCGGGUAUUGACCCCUGCGGUGCCGAAGCUAACGCAUUAAGUGCCCCGCCUGGGGAGUACGGUCGCAAGACUAAAACUCAAAGGAAUUGACGGGGGCCCGCACAAGCGGUGGAGCAUGUGGUUUAAUUCGACGCAACGCGAAGAACCUUACCUGGGCUUGACAUCCCGAUCGUACCUGCUGGAAACAGCGGGGUCAGUUCGGCUGGAUCGGAGACAGGUGCUGCAUGGCUGUCGU
RNAcentral lists this ribosomal RNA (267 nucleotides) under uncultured bacterium. RNAcentral describes it as "partial 16S ribosomal RNA". It matches the Rfam family "Bacterial small subunit ribosomal RNA", at positions 793 to 1055 of the family's 1533-position model. The record is from RNAcentral.